GUAGCGAUGGCUGUGGUCCUCUGUCCAGAAGCCUGGGGCCCUCCGGGAUGAGAUCAACAUCGUGCUCAUCAAGAAGAUCUGCAGGUGGAGAGGAGACUGGAUUUCAAGAAUUCUCCAUGGAGGCUGGAUUCCAG
Molecule: long non-coding RNA, 134 nt
Organism: Mastomys coucha (southern multimammate mouse)
Lineage: Eukaryota; Metazoa; Chordata; Mammalia; Rodentia; Muridae
Exons: 3
Source: RefSeq, a predicted model, not a curated record